This 429-nucleotide ribosomal RNA is filed under the name bacterium. RNAcentral describes it as "partial 16S ribosomal RNA". It matches the Rfam family "Bacterial small subunit ribosomal RNA", at positions 355 to 776 of the family's 1533-position model. The record is from RNAcentral.
UAGGGAAUCUUCCACAAUGGACGCAAGUCUGAUGGAGCAACGCCGCGUGAGUGAAGAAGGUUUUCGGAUCGUAAAGCUCUGUUGUUGGUGAAGAAGGAUAGAGGCAGUAACUGGUCUUUAUUUGACGGUAAUCAACCAGAAAGUCACGGCUAACUACGUGCCAGCAGCCGCGGUAAUACGUAGGUGGCAAGCGUUGUCCGGAUUUAUUGGGCGGAAAGCGAGCGCAGGCGGAAUGAUAAGUCUGAUGUGAAAGCCCACGGGUCAACCGUGGAACUGCAGCGGAAACUGUCAUGCUUGAGUGCAGAAGAGGAGAGUGGAAUUCCAUGUGUAGCGGUGGAAUGCGUAGAUAUAUGGAAGAACACCAGUGGCGAAGGCGGCUCUCUGGUCUGCAACUGACGCUGAGGCUCGAAAGCAUGGGUAGCGAACAGG